RNAcentral lists this unclassified non-coding RNA (314 nucleotides) under plant metagenome. RNAcentral describes it as "partial contains 5.8S ribosomal RNA, internal transcribed spacer 2, and large subunit ribosomal RNA". The stretch from base 1 to 105 matches the Rfam family "5.8S ribosomal RNA", at positions 50 to 154 of the family's 154-position model. The record is from RNAcentral.
GAAAUGCGAUAAUUAAUGUGAAUUGCAGAAUUCAGUGAAUCAUCGAGUCUUUGAUCGCACAUUGCGCCCCCUGGUAUUCCGGGGGGCAUGCCUGUCCGAGCGUCAUUGCUGCCCUCAAGCACGGCUUGUGUGUUGGGCUUCCGUCCCUGGCAACGGGGACGGGCCCAAAAGGCAGUGGCGGCACCAUGUCUGGUCCUCGAGCGUAUGGGGCUUUGUCACCCGCUCCCGUAGGUCCAGCUGGCAGCUAGCCUCGCAACCAAUCUUUUUAACCAGGUUGACCUCGGAUCAGGUAGGGAUACCCGCUGAACUUAAGC